AAAAAGCUUUUAAGGGCAAAUGGUGGAUGCCUUGGGUGAUAGAGGCGAUGAAGGACGUACUAGACUGCGAUAAGCUAGGUGGAGCUGUCAAGAAGCUUUGAUACCUAGAUUUCCGAAUGGGGCAACCCAAUACAUAGAGAUAUGUAUUACCUGUAAUAGGAGCGAACCUAGCGAAGUGAAACAUCUCAGUAGCUAGAGGAAAAGAAAUCAAACGAGAUUCUCUUAGUAGCGGCGAGCGAACGGGGAAAAGGGCAAACCAGUAGCUUGCUACUGGGGUUGAGGACUGCAAUAUCCACUGCAAUCUUUUAGCAGAAUAUUCUGGAAAGGAUAAUCAUAGAGGGUGAUAGUCCCGUAUGCAAAAAGAGAUUGUUAGGUAGCAGUAUCCAGAGUAGGUCAGGACACGUGAAAUCCGGGCUGAAGCAGGGGAGACCACUCUCCAACCCUAAAUACUCCUAUCACACCGAUAGCGAACAAGUACCGUGAGGGAAAGGUGAAAAGAACCGCAGUGAGCGGAGUGAAAUAGAACCUGAAACCAUUUGCCUACAAUCAUUCAGAGCCCUAUGAUUUAUCAGGGUGAUGGACUGCCUUUUGCAUAAUGAUCCUGCGAGUUGUGGUAUCUGGCAAGGUUAAGCACACGUGAAGCCGUAGCGAAAGCGAGUCUUAAUAGGGCGUUUAGUCAGAUGCUGCAGACCCGAAGCCAAGUGAUCUAUCCAUGGCCAAGUUGAAGUAAGUGUAAUAGCUUAUGGAGGACUGAACUCGUACCCAUUGAAACGGGUUGGGAUGAGCUGUGGAUAGGGGUGAAAGGCCAAACAAACUUGGUGAUAGCUGGUUCUCUUCGAAAUAUAUUUAGGUAUAGCCUCAAGUGAUAGUAAUAGGGGGUAGAGCUCUGAUUGGGCUAGGGCUGCUCACCGCGGUACCAACCCCUGUCAAACUACGAAUACCUAUUACCGUAUCUUGGGAGUCAGGCGGUGGGUGAUAAAAUCAAUCGUCAAGAGGGAAACAACCCAGACUACCAACUAAGGUCCCAAAGUUCUAUUCUAAGUGGAAAAUGAUGUGAAGUUACUUAGACAACCAGGAGGUUGGCUUAGAAGCAGCCAUCCUUUAAAGAAAGCGUAACAGCUCACUGGUCUAGUGAUUUUGCGCAGAAAAUAUAACGGGGCUAAGAUAGACACCGAAGUUGUAGAUUGUGCUGAUGCACAGUGGUAGAAGAGCGUUCGUAUCAGCGUUGAAGGCAUACCGGUAAGGAGUGCUGGAGCGAUGCGAAGUGAGCAUGCAGGAAUGAGUAGCGAUAAAAGUGGUGAGAAUCCACUUCGCCGAAAGUCUAAGGUUUCCUACGCGAUGCUCGUCAUCGUAGGGUUAGUCGGGUCCUAAGACAAGUCCGAAAGGGGUAGUCGAUGGAAAAUGGGUUAAUAUUCCCAUACCAACAUUAGUGUGCGAUGGGGGGACGCAUAGGGCUAAAUGGCGUUAGCUGAUGGAAAUGCUAACUUAAAAGUGUAGAUUGGAGGAUUGGCAAAUCCGCCUCUGUAUUUGAAACUUGAAUAGCUUCAAGCGAGCUUCGGCUUAAUUGGAGUGCCAUUGAUGCCGUCGUGCCAAGAAAAGCCUCUAAGUUUAGCUAAUGUUGCCCGUACCGCAAACCGACACAGGUAGAUGAGAUGAGUAUUCUAAGGCGCGUGAAAGAACUCUGGUUAAGGAACUCUGCAAACUAGCACCGUAAGUUCGCGAUAAGGUGUGCCCAAAGUCUAGCAAUAGAUGAGUAGGUCUCAGCAAAGAGUCCCUCCCGACUGUUUACCAAAAACACAGCACUUUGCAAACUCGUAAGAGGAAGUAUAAGGUGUGACGCCUGCCCGGUGCUCGAAGGUUAAGAGGAUUAGUUAGCAGCAAUGCGAAGCUCUGAAUUGAAGCCCGAGUAAACGGCGGCCGUAACUAUAACGGUCCUAAGGUAGCGAAAUUCCUUGUCGGUUAAAUACCGACCUGCAUGAAUGGCGUAACGAGAUGGGAGCUGUCUCAACCAGGGAUUCAGUGAAAUUGUAGUGGAGGUGAAAAUUCCUCCUACCCGCGGCAAGACGGAAAGACCCCGUGGACCUUUACUACAGCUUGGCACUGCCGAUGGGAGCAUUAUGCGCAGGAUAGGUGGGAGGCUUUGAAAUCUCCACUCUGGUGGAGAUGGAGCCAUCGUUGAGAUACCACCCUUAAUGUUUCUGUCUGCUAACUAGCUUGAGUUAUCCUCAAGUAGGACAAUGCCUGGUGGGUAGUUUGACUGGGGCGGUCGCCUCCUAAAAAGUAACGGAGGCUUGCAAAGGUUGGCUCAUUGCGGUUGGAAAUCGCAAGAAGAGUGUAAUGGCAUAAGCCAGCCUGACUGUAAGACAAACAAGUCGAGCAGAGACGAAAGUCGGUCAUAGUGAUCCGGUGAUUCUGUGUGGAAGGGUCAUCGCUCAAAGGAUAAAAGGUACCCCGGGGAUAACAGGCUGAUCUCCCCCAAGAGCUCACAUCGACGGGGAGGUUUGGCACCUCGAUGUCGGCUCAUCGCAUCCUGGGGCUGGAGCAGGUCCCAAGGGUAUGGCUGUUCGCCAUUUAAAGCGGUACGCGAGCUGGGUUCAGAACGUCGUGAGACAGUUCGGUCCCUAUCUGCCGUGGGCGUAGGAAAGUUGAGGAGAGCUGUCCCUAGUACGAGAGGACCGGGAUGGACACGCCACUGGUGUACCAGUUGUUCUGCCAAGAGCAUCGCUGGGUAGCUACGCGUGGAUGUGAUAACCGCUGAAAGCAUCUAAGCGGGAAGCCAACUCCAAGAUGAACUUUCCCUGAAGGUCGCAGCAAGACUAGCUGCUUGAUAGGGUAGAUGUGUAAGCAUAGUAAUGUGUUUAGCUGACUACUACUAAUAGACCGUUUGGCUUUUUUCUAA
This 2899-nucleotide ribosomal RNA is filed under the name Helicobacter japonicus. RNAcentral's name for it is "bacterial LSU rRNA". It matches the Rfam family "Bacterial large subunit ribosomal RNA". Lineage: Bacteria; Pseudomonadati; Campylobacterota; Epsilonproteobacteria; Campylobacterales; Helicobacteraceae. The record is from RNAcentral.